UUGAGUUUGAUCCUGGCUCAGGACGAACGCUGGCGGCGUGCCUAAUACAUGCAAGUCGAGCGAAUUUUUAGGAGCUUGCUCCUGAAAAUUAGCGGCGGACGGGUGAGUAACACGUGGGCAACCUGCCUGUAAGACUGGGAUAACUUCGGGAAACCGGAGCUAAUACCGGAUAAUCCUUUUCCUCACAUGAGGGAAGGCUGAAAGACGGUUUCGGCUGUCACUUACAGAUGGGCCCGCGGCGCAUUAGCUAGUUGGUGAGGUAACGGCUCACCAAGGCGACGAUGCGUAGCCGACCUGAGAGGGUGAUCGGCCACACUGGGACUGAGACACGGCCCAGACUCCUACGGGAGGCAGCAGUAGGGAAUCUUCCGCAAUGGACGAAAGUCUGACGGAGCAACGCCGCGUGAACGAUGAAGGCCUUCGGGUCGUAAAGUUCUGUUGUUAGGGAAGAACAAGUACCGGAGUAACUGCCGGUACCUUGACGGUACCUAACCAGAAAGCCACGGCUAACUACGUGCCAGCAGCCGCGGUAAUACGUAGGUGGCAAGCGUUGUCCGGAAUUAUUGGGCGUAAAGCGCGCGCAGGCGGUCCUUUAAGUCUGAUGUGAAAGCCCACGGCUCAACCGUGGAGGGUCAUUGGAAACUGGGGGACUUGAGUACAGAAGAGGAAAGUGGAAUUCCACGUGUAGCGGUGAAAUGCGUAGAGAUGUGGAGGAAC
RNAcentral lists this ribosomal RNA (717 nucleotides) under uncultured bacterium. RNAcentral's name for it is "bacterial SSU rRNA". It matches the Rfam family "Bacterial small subunit ribosomal RNA", at positions 1 to 707 of the family's 1533-position model. The record is from RNAcentral.